GUUCAGCUUAUCCAGUCCUAGGGGCUUUCAUCCAAUAGUGCAAACUGCCCCUUCCUCACACAGGGCAGUUGGGUUUUGCACUCCCCCAUCGCUGAGUUUUUGUUUCAUCCGUCAAGGUCCCAUCUUCUGAAUUUGCUGACAUCUCUCACCUGGAUUGUCUUUGCCUGGCUUGUCUUCUGCUGACUGCUCAUCCACUCCCCAACCUCAUGGGGCUGGGGUUCUCAGAGCACAUCCAUGCACCGUCUUGUUUGUCUACACCUUUUCCUGAGUUCUGUGGAUCAGGAGUUAAGGCGUGACUGAGCUGGAUGGCUCUGGCUCAGGGAUUCCCAUGAGGUUGAAAUCAAGAUGUCAAUCAGGACUACAGUCAUCUGAGGGCUUGCCUGGAGCUGGAGGAUCUGUUUCCAAGAUGGCGCCCUCACCAAGCUGUUGACAGGAGGCCUCAGACCUUCGCCACAUGGCCUCUCCAUAAGGCUGCUUGAGUGUCCUCGCAGACAUGUCAGACCUAUUUCCCCAUCUGCAAAAUAAGAAGACCGACUUCAAUGACCACUAAGGUUUCAUUUUCAGUCAGUUGUGUCCCAGCGUUCCAGCGCUGAGACCCUAGGCCUUGACCGCAGACCUCAGGCAGCCUCCUCCCGCUCCCCCUCCCUCCCUGCAAGACUCGCUGGCUCUUGGCCCCAAAUGCAACUACCUCCCAUCAGUGCCUAAGCCAUACCUGGGUUUAUCAGCAUCUCUAGGGUGGGACCCAAACAUCAGUAGGUUUUACAUCUCCCAAGUGAUUCCAACAUGCAGCCAUGGUUGAGGACCACUGCUCCAACUGCUCCACGUGAACCCUCACAUGGAGAAUCUUUCACCAAAUAAAACGACAUCGUAUUUGACUAAUUACUGAUUUGUCUUU
This 895-nucleotide long non-coding RNA is filed under the name Equus caballus (horse). RNAcentral's name for it is "lncRNA (ENSECAG00000053312.1)". Lineage: Eukaryota; Metazoa; Chordata; Mammalia; Perissodactyla; Equidae. The record is from RNAcentral.